Molecule: long non-coding RNA, 4707 nt
Filed under: Citrus sinensis (sweet orange)
Lineage: Eukaryota; Viridiplantae; Streptophyta; Magnoliopsida; Sapindales; Rutaceae
Description: long non-coding RNA (CSIN_LNC004950)
Source: RNAcentral
GGGUGGAUCGGUUCAAAAUGGAUGAGGAAGCCCUUUGCUGGUGAUUAGAUUCAUUCAACAAUUUAUUUAUAAAACACCCAACAAAUUAAACUCCAAUUUAUGAAUCCGAACUCACAAAAUUAAGGAAAACAAGUGUUUUGAAAUUCAGGUGUGAAAUGGAUUAUUGAGCAUGGCAGCUGCUACAAGCACACUUAAAAUUGAUUCAAUUGAAAACAACAGCCUCCUCGUGAACUUCAUGAAAAUUUAUUUGGAUGUUUCAAAUAAUUUGUAAUUAUAAAACUGACCUUUUCAUUUGCUUCCAAAUCUUUCCAUCAAAAUCAACGAAUAAAUAAAAAAUGUAAACACAAGUUACACAAGUCCACCGACACGACAGCAGCGGCGGGCUACCGACGACACGACCACAACGAACGGGAGGCGACGCUGACACGAGCACGACCGGAUGAACUACGACAGGCUGACACGAGCGCGAUGGCGACGACUACGGUGACAGGCUGGCUAAUAAGCGACAGUGGUGGAUGGAAUGUGUGUAUCAGCGAGAGUGAGACAGAUGGUGAGGGUGUAUGUGUGUGUCGGCUAGUGUGUGAGAGAGAGAUGGUGGGUGUGUGCAUGAUUUUAAUGUUUAUAAUUAUUUUAUUUAUUUAUAAAACCGAAAUUAAAUCUAAUUAACAUAAAUUUUGGUUCGGCUCGGUUUGGAAAACCGAAUCGAACCCACCCCAAUCAGAAUUAAAAUCCAUCCCAAAAAAAAAUAAAUUAAUAAACUCUUCUUCACUCUAGGGGUGUUCAAAAUCUAAUCUGAUUUGCUUAAUUUGAUCUACAAAAAAUUUGAUCUACAAAAAAUUUGUUCUAUAAAAAUCCGAUCUGUGGAUUAGUGGAUUGAAUUAGAUUAAAAAUUUAAAAAUCCGCAGUCAAUAAAUUAGAUAUAGAUUUACUUCUAUAAAUUCAUAAAAAUCUGUAAAUUUGCAAAAACAAAAAUUAUUUAAUUAAAAUAUUAAACUUGUAAAUGUGGCAUUACUACUUACUAAUAACAAAAUAAGUUAAAAAUGUAGUUACGUUAAUAGCAUAUUAUAUCUUAUUCAUGAUAAUAUAAAAUAAAAAAUAAUUAAAUAAGUAAAAAUAGCUUCUUAAACAGUUAAUUUUCAUAAUUUUAGUUAAUUUUUAUGUAUUGAUUUAAAAAAAUGAGAUUGUUUCUUCUUGUUGUUUUAUAUUUGAAACUUUGAAUGUAUUUUUCUAGUUUUAUUUAAAUGAUUAAUUUAUUUAAAUCUUAUUAAAUUUUAAAUUUGACAAAAUUAAAAAUUCUUAACUUACAAACUAACCCAUGGCCAUAAAAUUGUGGAUUGGAUAUGAAUUAGGUCAAAUACACAUCCGAUUCACAUGGAUUGAAUUUGAAUUGAAUUUCAAUAAUUCGUAGAUUGAAUUGGAUUAAAAAUUUAUAAUAUAAAAAAUUGUUAAUUGGAUAUGGAUUGAUAUCCAAUCCAUAACAUCUAAUCUGUGAAUACCCCUACUUCACUACCGUCAAGGAAUUGUUGCUUUUCCAAGUCGAAAGUAUUUAGUUGUCCAUUUGAUCAAUUAAUGUAUUAAGUAUCUUAUAUUUAAAGCAAUAUUUUUCAAAUGACCGCAAUUAAAAAAGUUAUUCUCUACUUCAAUAAUUGAAAACUUUGUAUAGUCUUGUUUAAUCACACGAGUUUGGAGAGAAAAGAGAGGUAAUUAAUCAAAAACUAUGUAAAGCAACAACGAUAGCAAGUUCUCUUCUGGAGCCUUCGAUUCAGGAGCUGGCAAUGAAGCCAAUGACGACUAAAGUUCCACCACGAUAUGUUCGCCCUGAUAUAAAAGAUGUAAUGAUCUGCAACAACAACAAUUCUUCAACAGAACAACUUCCAGUCAUUGUCAAAGUCAUGGUUGGGCGGUUUGGCACCAUUAACAUUUUUCAAAAUGGCCACCCAAAUUGAAGUCCAAGUAGAUGCCGCUCAAGGAAAGGAAAAAAAAAGGGAAAUUUUGACAAAGAAGAAAGACGAAUGAAGAAAAUGCUGCAAAUGGUGGUUGGCACACCAAAAUGGAAGAAAAGAAAAAAAAAUUAUUAUUUUAAUAGCCAAUUUUGGCUAUAAAUGGGGGGGUUCCCCAUCGGCUUAGAGCAUCCAAAUUUUUCAUUUUAUUUCUUAUUCUUUAGAGAGAAAGUGAGAGUAUUUUAAGAGUUUUAACAAACUCUUGAGUGAUUUGUGAUUUGAGAGUUUUGGGUGUAUUGGGGUUUUGGGUAGUGAGACAAAAUACCACAAUACUUGUAACUCAUUUUCACUAGUAAAAUAUUUUCCUUCUGUUUUUGCAUGUGGACGUAAGUUAAAAGCCGAAUCACGUAAUUUCUGGGGUCCUCUACUGUGCUUGUUCUUUAUUUUCUUCUAAUUUUAUUUUAGUUGUGUGUCUGCUUCACCCACCAAUUUUCUUAUAGUGGUAUCAGAGCUAUUGGUUGUAUUUUUUGGAGUUGGGUAUUGUUCACGUAUACGACACUGUUCACGUAUACGACACUGUUCACGUAUAUGAUACUAUUCACGUAUACGAUACUAUUCACGUAUACGACACUGUUCACGUAUACGACACUGUUCAUGGGAAACGGUGGGAGUAAUCCAAGAAUUUUUGCGGUGCAAAGUAGGGAAUAGUAGUGUGAGUGGAGUAACUGUGUGGUUUUGAACAUGUCUAGAAAAGUUCUGUCACAAAGGCGAUAAGAGCCUAAGGAGUCUAGGUUUUAAGUGAGACCGUUGUGACCCCCCCAGUCUUUCCUGGGAACUUUCCUGGUGUGCAUAUUCACACAUACUCACAACUAUUCGAGGUGAUACACUGGUUUGUGUACUGUAUUUAUCAACAAAAUGGCGGCAAAGUAUGAAAUUGAGAAGUUUAACGGAAAUAAUUUUUCGUUGUGGAAAAUGAAGAUGAAAGCUGUAUUGAGGAAAAAUAAUUGCUUGGCAGCAAUUGGAGAAGGUCCAUUGAGAUAACUGAUGACAAGUGGAAUGGGAUAGAUGGCAACGCCAUUUCUGAUCUACACUUAGCACUUGCGGACAUAGUAUUAUCCAGUGUGGCAAAGAAAACUACAGCAAAAGAAAUAUGGGAUACUCUCACAAAAUUGUACGAGACCAAAUCACUACACAACAAAAUUUUCUUGAAGAGGAAACUCUAUACUCUUCGAAUGGCAGAAUCUAUAAUGGUGACCGACCACAUCAACACCUUGAAAAUUCUAUUUUCACAACUCACAACGUUGGGUCAUAAUAUAGAGGAAAAUGAACGUGCGAAACUUCUACUUCAAAGUCUACUAGAUUCAUAUGAUUAACUCAUCAUCAACCUGACGAACAACAAUUCAAUGGACAGUCUAAUUUUCGACGAUGUUGCAACCUUCGUAUUAAAUGAGGAAAGUAGGCGAAAAAACAAGGAAGACAUACUGGUGAGUUCGCAGCAGGCAGAAGCGUUAUCAGUGACGAGAGGGAGAUCAACGGAACGUGGCCCCAAUGGGAGUCACAAUCAUGGUAGAUCCAAAUCCAGAAGUAAGAAGAAUGUUAAAUGCUACAACUGUGGUAAGAAAGGACAUGUCAAGAAAGAGUAUUGGAGUAACCAGAAGAGAAAAGAGGGCAAAGAACCUAAGUCAUCAAAUGCUCAGGGGUGUGUAGCAAGUACCUCAGAUGAUGGCGAAAUUCUCUACAACGAGGCAACAACUGUUUCAGAAGGCAGAAAACGAUAAUCUGAUGUCUGGCUUAUAGACUCAAGAGCUACCUGGCACAUGACCUCUUGGAGAAAAUAGUUUCACACAUAUGAACCUAUCUCAGGAGUAUCUGUAUAUAUGGGUAAUGAUCAUGCCUUGGAGAUCGCUGAUAUUGGUACUAUCAAAAUAAAAAUGUUUGAUAGUGCAAUUCGCACAAUUAGGGAGGUACGUCAUGUCAACGGCCUGAAGAAAAAUCUAUUGUCUUUGAGACAAAUGGAUAGUCAUGGGUACAAAACUCAUGUGGAGAAUAAAAUUAUGAAGAUCGUUAAAGGCGCGCUUGUAUUGAUGAAGGCAGAAAAAAUCGGUGCUAAUCUAUUCAUGCUUAAAGGAGAAACAUUACAGGAGGCUGAUGCAUGUGUCGCAUCAAAUGGAGAAGAGUCAACGAUGAUGUGGCAUCUCAAACUUGACCACAUGUCAUAACAAGAUUUGAAGAUUUUCUCUGAGCGAAAAUUGCUUCCAGGACUUAAAUCGGUACGUUUACCAUUUUGCGAGCAUUGUGUUACAAGUAAGCAUCAUAUAUUAAAGUUCAGUAGAUCUAUUGCUAGAAGUAAACGCAUUCUAGACUUGAUUCAUUAUGAUGUUUGGGAAUCGCCGGAUAUGACCAUGAGAGGUGCAAAGUACAUGGUGACUUUCAUUGAUAAUUAUUCUAGGAGAUGUUGGGUGUAUCUAAUUAGGAAAAAGUCAUAUGUAUUUCUAGUGUUUAAAGAAUACAAAGUGCGGAUGGAACUUGAAUCCGGAAAAAAGAUCAAGUGCUUGAGGACGGAUAAUGGUGGAGACUAUACAGCGGUGAGUUUCUUGCUUUCUGUAGGCAAGAAGGUAUUCAGAGGCAGUUCACGGUAGCAUACACUCCUCAACAAAAUGGAGUGGCAGAGCGGAUGAAUAGGAUUCUUACAGAACGAAUACGAGCUAUGUUGAGGACUGCUGGUCUACCCAUCUACAACUAUUGGGCUGAACACAGCGAUGGAGAU